AUUGCAGAAUCCCGUGAACCAUCGAGUUUUUGAACGCAAGUUGCGCCCGAAGCCAUUCGGCUGAGGGCACGUCUGCCUGGGCGUCACGC
This 89-nucleotide ribosomal RNA is filed under the name Dieteria canescens var. incana. RNAcentral describes it as "partial 5.8S ribosomal RNA". It matches the Rfam family "5.8S ribosomal RNA", at positions 71 to 154 of the family's 154-position model. Rfam says of the family: 5.8S ribosomal RNA (5.8S rRNA) is a component of the large subunit of the eukaryotic ribosome. It is transcribed by RNA polymerase I as part of the 45S precursor that also contains 18S and 28S rRNA. Lineage: Eukaryota; Viridiplantae; Streptophyta; Magnoliopsida; Asterales; Asteraceae. The record is from RNAcentral.